RNAcentral lists this ribosomal RNA (478 nucleotides) under uncultured bacterium. RNAcentral describes it as "partial 16S ribosomal RNA". It matches the Rfam family "Bacterial small subunit ribosomal RNA", at positions 28 to 507 of the family's 1533-position model. The record is from RNAcentral.
GAUGAACGCUGGCGGCGUGCUUAACACAUGCAAGUCGAACGGGAAAUAUUUCAUUGAGACUUCGGUGGAUUUGAUUUAUUUCUAGUGGCGGACGGGGGAGUAACGCGUGGGUAACCUGCCUUAUACAGGGGGAUAACAGUAAGAAAUGGCUGCUACUACCGCAUAAGCGCACAGAGCUGCAUGGCUCAGUGUGAAAAACUCCGUGGGGAUAAGAUGGACGCGCGUUGGAUUAGCUAGCGGGUGGGGUAACGGCCCAGCAAGGCGACGAUCCAUAGCCGGGAGGGGAGGGGGGACGACCACGUUGGGGCUGAGACACAGACCAGACUCGUACGGGAGGGAGCAGAGUGGAAUAUAGCAGAAGGGGGGAUGCCGUGAUGAAGCGACGCGGGGGGAAGGAAGCAGUAGCUCGGUAUGUGAACUUCUAUCAGCAGGGAAGAUAGUGACGGUACCUGACUAAGAAGCCCCGGCUAACUACGUG